CCAAACAAAUGUUCUGGGGGGCCGUUAAGCAGAACAAAAUUCUUUGCGAGAGCACGUGCCAGCUUUAUUACAAUGCACGGCACACUCUGAGAGCUUUUGGCACGCACUGGAGCACAAUGAAUUCUGGAGCUCUGGGGACAAAGAACGCUGCUAAUUUGUGCAGCCACUGCCUGAGAGCCUGGGAGCUGGGCGGGGAGCUUGGAGGACACUCCUCUAAGAAAGGAUGUUAGAGAAUCGGCGUAGAUGGGUUUGCCAGGCAUAGGAAGGGGAAAGACCCAUCUGGGGUGAUAUUCCGGUUUCUGCUGACCCAUGGGCCUGAUGUCAGGAUAUCUUGUCCCACCCCAUAUAGCUCAAAUCUGUACCUUCCCCGCUGGAAACUCGCCUCUCUAAGCCACACAGCUGCUACCACUGACCUUCUGAGAGGAAGGCAACGUACGCUAAUAUUUAUAGAGGAAACCAGGAAGUGAGGAGGCACAGCCUGGGCUUCCUGAUGGGGUUGUUGACUCAUAGUGCCAUACUUCCAGCGAUUUCCUUCAUUUCUUUGUACCUCAGUUUCUUAGCAAAUCAUGAAGGAUGAAAAUGGAAUCCCCUAGAGGUACAGGGAAUACCUAAUUGGCAUUUAUGGGGUUUUUUUUUUUUGUUUUUGUUUUGUUUUUGAGAUAACAACAUAGAUAGCUUCCUUACAUGAAAGAUUGCUUCUUUAUGUUCAUCUCCCCAGCAUAGGACUGAAGAAAUACUAUUUGAGGUCCUGUGUGGGAUACAGCACUACUUCAGCUCGUCCACAGCAGCUGACUAUGAUUUGUCUCAUGCUCUGGCAGGGAUUCUGCCAGCUGAAGAUAGUUUGUGUUUGGAAUUCUGGGGACUCUUGAGAGGGUUUAAAAAUGGCAGAGCCCUGAGAGGCUGCUGCGACUGCUUCUCCCUGAGCUGCUGCUGGUUCCUGUCACUGUGGUUUGUCAAGUAGUCCUGGGUAAAGAGAUGAGAAGAAGAAAUUAGAUAUCCUGAUGGUGAAGAUUGGGCUUGCCUCAAGGAACUCACGGCUCCUAAUCAGCAGGAAGGAAUCGGAAGAGAUCUAGGCCCCUUUCCUCCUCUAACCUUCUUUCUCUCCUGCCUAGUGAUGGGUGGGUGGGAAGGGUUGGGAGGUAGAUAAAGGAAUCUAAUAAAGUAACCAAAAAGUAUGCACACACUGAAUAUUCUCCAGUCCUCGAAAACUCUCUUUUGCAAAGAUCUCAUUCAUCAUCAAGGCUUCACAUGGGAACUCCGAGUGCUUGGAAUGGAUUCCACGCCUCUCUGCAGACUACACCUUUCCUUCCAGUUUUGGAAGCUAAACCUUCUACUCCACGUAGCAUAUAGAAAUUUCAACUCAAGUGAUCCAAGUAAUCUAAUACACACUUGGAUGGGGCAGUCCAUGCCUGUCAUCCUCCCACUGAGACUGAGGGAAGAGGACCACAAGUUUGAGAGUAGCCCAGGCUACUCAUUUCAAAAAGCCAUAAAUAAAUAACACACAUGAUGUAACACA
Molecule: non-coding RNA, 1516 nt
Organism: Rattus norvegicus (Norway rat)
Lineage: Eukaryota; Metazoa; Chordata; Mammalia; Rodentia; Muridae
Source: RefSeq, a predicted model, not a curated record